GACGAACGCUGGCGGCGUGCCUAAUACAUGCAAGUUGAGCGCUGAAGGUUGGUACUUGUACCGACUGGAUGAGCAGCGAACGGGUGAGUAACGCGUGGGGAAUCUGCCUUUGAGCGGGGGACAACAUUUGGAAACGAAUGCUAAUACCGCAUAACAACUUUAAACACAAGUUUUAAGUUUGAAAGAUGCAAUUGCAUCACUCAAAGAUGAUCCCGCGUUGUAUUAGCUAGUUGGUGAGGUAAAGGCUCACCAAGGCGAUGAUACAUAGCCGACCUGAGGGGGGGCGCGGCCAACUUGGGACUGAGAGACGGCCCAAACUCCUACGGGGGGCAGCAGUAGGGAAGCUUCGGCAAUGGACGAAAGUCUGACCGAGCAACGCCGCGUGAGUGAAGAAGGUUUUCGGAUCGUAAAACUCUGUUGGUAGAGAAGAACGUUGGUGAGAGUGGAAAGCUCAUCAAGUGACGGUAACUACCCAGAAAGGGACGGCUAACUACGUGCCAGCCGCCGCCGUAA
RNAcentral lists this ribosomal RNA (513 nucleotides) under uncultured bacterium. RNAcentral describes it as "partial 16S ribosomal RNA". It matches the Rfam family "Bacterial small subunit ribosomal RNA", at positions 28 to 523 of the family's 1533-position model. The record is from RNAcentral.